AGAGGGCAGAAUCAUCUGUGGGCUGACAUUCACAGCUAAGCUCCAGACUAAAGAGCUUAACCGUGGAAGAGGGAAGAAGCUUUCAAAAGCAGAGCUUACAUGGCAUCAGGAUUUGUCACUGCUAUUCAAGAGCAACGGGAGUUCUGGAUGUUUUGUAAAGGUAAUGGCUGCCAAGGCUUACUCUUAUUUAUUUAGAAAAAAAUGAAACAAAAUUCUUCCUUACAUCUGAAAGAGACAGCUGAUAUGCUUUCAUUUGAUUCUUUCUUGUUAACAUUUUACUUCUUAUAUGCCUUUAGCAUGUUCAAAGGAGUUGAUAGUCUUUACAGAGGGGAUCCAGAAAUCUUGCUGGCUCCUCCAGCUGCAAAUGUCAUGACUGACCAUGGAGGUUCUCUGAUAGAAAAUUGCUUGUGUAGAUUAGGUGCUGGGGAGCAGGGCAUUAUGCUUUCACAUACUGACACCUUCUUGAGGGUGUGUCUUGAGUCCAGCUUUGAUUUAGCACUUUCAUACCCUCAUAGGGAAUCACUGAUGGCUGCUCAAGCACACAAGGAUGCAUAAAUCAUUCAGAUCUUUUAGCUAUUUGGAGCUGUCAGUGCACCGACUGCACAUCAUCUGCCAUUGUAACUCCUGCAGCAGCUCUCUGCUUCCUGUUGUGCUAUAUCUGAUCUCUGGGUGACUCCCAUCAGUGACAGGUAGCACUCAACUGCUAAAGGGCCCCAAAAGUUCGUCUCCUGUUGAUGCAGGAAAGGAAAAUACAGCAGGUUGUGCUGUAUUUACUGUGUCACAGAACUGCUCUCACAACAGUAACACCAUUAACUUUAUCUCGCCUUGCCCUGACCUUCUCUCCUACCUAGAUCCAGAAGACCAUAGUUAUAGUAGUGCUAUAGAUGCCUUUAUAUACCUUCUACUGCUUUCGAGGUAGGCUGUGACUUUUUCUCAAGCAAGUGGUUAUCUCUUUAUCUGAUUUCAUACCUGCCUGCAUAGGACCUCAAGCCAAGGCACCACCUGAGAUGCUCUGUAUUCAAACUGUCAAAGAACUAUGACACCGUCACACCUAAAACCUUCAAUCAGAAGCAAGAAAUAGAACACUGUCAAAUUAAUGGCUGGAGCAAAAUCAAGGAAACGAGUGAUACUCCUUCAAAAAUGUAAGUAAACCAUUUCAACUUCCAGACUGCAGAUUCUCAAGUAACCAGUGAAGUUGUCAGUGACCAAAACAGGUACUUCUGAUAAAUGACCAUUCUCAACCAAGUUUAUUGUACUUCUUGGCUACAAAAAAAGUUAUUUGUGAUGCUCAUGGAAAGUUUUAGUGAGAGACUGUAGGCCCAGCCCAGCUGGGCAGAGAAAGCUGUAGACACGAGUUCUUUGUCUCAGACAAAAGAGAAAAGCUAUUUGCAUUUGCCUGCAUGAGAGGGAAUUGAUCUUCAGGUCUAACAGGUUUUUAUUUUUCAUAAACUAUUUAAUUCAGUGUGGGCAUGAAAGAGUUUUUAAUACUAAGUGAUUAUUUUGGUGCUAACAGCAUGCCUCGGUGUCUUUUCUCUUGGGAAUACUGUAUUUUUAAUAGGUAGUCUUUUUCAGAAGCAAAAUGAGUAGUAACAUUUGUAGUUCCAGAUAAAUAUGAGUUUUAAUUAAGAGCCCAAUCCCCCCAUGCCUUUCUCUGACAGUCCACAAAGCUGGUUUCACUUGAAGUUGUCAUGUUCAUUAUAAAUCUGCAAAAUGAAUACUCACAAGACAAACGAGAGGAAAAUACUCAUAGGGUACAUGUAAUUAGCACACAACUUAUUAUGAAUUGUGAUGAUCUCCUUGAUAAUUAAUCAGCCUUACAGAUGAUGUCUGGAGAUGGUCCAGCCAGGAGACAUUUCAACAAAUAAGACCAAAUUCCUACGGGAACAGAGGAAGACGUGCUAAGAAAUAGGAAGGCAAAAACUGCAGGCCUAGAACAAACAUUUGAUAGGCUCUAGCCUCAGCUAAUCAAAGAUGGAAUCUCAGGGUUCUGCAGGAGGACAUCCAUGUGCAUCUUCAUGGUUACGGAGAACAUGCAGUGGAGCAGCUCUUCUGGCGUAUUGAUUUGCCUUCAGAAGAAAAUGGUUGGAUUACACUACCUGUACAGCAACAGGGUGCACUUACUUGUGAAGGAACGAAAAUGAGAUGAUGUAGUAAGGACUUGGGCCUUUCCUCCAUAGUCCAGGGUAGGAGAAGGACCCAGACUCUGCAUGUAAGCAGGGUCACACUGCAGAAAGGGGUCUCAGGCAAAAGAAGAUGCUGAGGGCAAAGCUCAGCAUUAGCAUGCCUCUGUUCACCUGAGUCUAAGUUGUUGUGAUAGGCCUGAAUUUUUUUUUUGAGUAACUGUUUACCCUUCUUGGUUUCUGCACUCUCCUUUAAAAUGCAGCUGAAGUAGUGCUCAGAAGACUUCUCAGUAACAUGCUGGAGCCCUUACCCAGGAAAAAAAGGGGCUCAGACAGUUGUGGACCCACUUGCACCCUGCCACCAGAGUGCUCCCAGUGGGGCGCAUAUCUCUGGGAGCUAGGCUACCACAGAGAGAGACCUCCAGUCACCUUGUUGCCUCCAGCUACCUCCAGCCUCUUGCAACAUUUGAUCUGGGCAACAGGACAACUCAAGACUGGCCUGAAAGGAGCCUACGCUUUCUGGCACAAGUUCCUCAAAUUCUCAUGAUUCCCAGCUCACGUCUGGAGAUCUCCAUACAAAGCAGCAGGGAGGAAAGCUGUGUGGAGGAGGAGAUGAGAAGAUGACUGUAGUAGCACCUGUAUCCCCUCAGAUCAAGAGCAAAUGUGGUUCACAGCAGAAACCUAAUGAGGGAACAGAGAGGCUGACCAUCUGCAAUUCGGUGUCUUUACCAUUUCUAUAAAUGAUCUGGAUGCAGCACUUGAAGUCAUACCAAGCACAGACUUCAGUGUUAUUUUGUGGGAAAACAUUUAGAAACUGCAAGGAAGCUGUAAAAGAAUGCAACCAGGAUCCAGCUUCUGAAGACUAGAAAAAUGACUAGAUUGUUUUCAAGACUAGAAAGCUUCUAAAGUAAUGGAGAAAAAGUGUUCAAGAGAAAAGUGCUCCUGGGGCAAAAAGGCAAAUGAUGACAAAAUAGGGGCUCUUUUGCCAUCAUCUACUCGCUCUUCUUGGUCUCCUGGAGGGCUGUCACUUGAAUGAGGCCAAAGGACAGACUGGGAUCCAUUGCUGCCACAACGGAUGCUGGGGUGAAGAUGGGGAUGCCAUCUUUUGUGGGGAUGCCACAAGAGCUGGAGUGAGGAUGGCCACCCAGUAAGCCCAGUUGCUGCUCUCCUGCUGCUGAGCCUGGUGGGAUCACACUCUGUAGCUGAAAGAGGUAUAAAGCAGUAUAUUUUACCUCCUAUUUGCUGUGGAAAUUUGCCUGUCACAGGUUUGCUGAAGGUGGUAACUCACUAAGCCACAAGCUCAGUCACGCGUUUAAUUCUGAAGUGUGGUGGGAUUUAAUCUCAGUCCAUAUGAAGACAUUAAACAACACCCACUGGCAAACCCAUCAUCCACAACCUGGAACAGGUCCUGCACAGCAGCUUCCUCCUCAUGCGUGGAAGUGAUUCCUCCCAUCCAGCACAUGCUUGGAGGCACAUCUGAAGUAUGAUGUACAGUUUCCAUGCUAACAGUCCUGUCUCUGAAAGAAAGCUGCUUUGGAACAGGUGUCUCUGAGAGAAUUGUGAGGAGAUGGUGACCCUAAGCUGUGCCUCAGCAAAAUACAAAUGCUAGAGCACAGUCCUGAUCAGACCUCAUCUUGCAAACAUAUGACUUUGGGCAGCUUUGCAAAUGACUUGGCUAUCCUGAGCAAGUCUAUUUUAAUGUCAAGAGGAGACCAGCCACACACUCACUCAUGCUACACCUCCAGGCUAUCCAUUUGCAGAACUAUGUCAGGGUUGUGGGAUUACACAGGGCUCUGUGUGUGAAUGCUUUCUGUGGGCUCUGUCCUGGAAACCUCUUUUUUCUUGAAAAUGGGCCAAUGGGCCUCUUUCUGCUUUGCACCGCAUGGGGACGACUGUGACCGGGCCACACCAGCCCCCAGUCUACACAUACAGCACUUUGUCAACAAGUUAACAACCUAUAAUUGUGAAGAAAAAGAUGCACCUGGAGAAUUUCGAGAGGACAUUAACCGUGUUUUCAUUGCACUGCUGCACUGGCCUGCAGUCCCACAGUUACAACACUGAAAACUCAAUCUAUUUCCUUGUUACUCAUGAUCCUCCUGGUGAUAUUAAAGGCACAGCACGGUGGUUGACCAAGGAACAGUCACUCUUGCAAUCAGUCUCAGUUCAAAGUAGAGAGAGAGGAACCACAAUCACGCACAAAAGCUUGAGACAUAAGAACUUGUAACCAUGACAGCUGCAUCCUACAAACACUACAGAAGACAGUAACAGCAAUUCCUCCCUGCAAAGCCUGUGUUUACUCAGUUUCCUUUGUAUGCAUUGGCAGUCCCCAUUUAAGUACAGUAUCAGUACCACGACAAAACAGUUUUUAAGGUGUCUUGUCAUCAGAGGAAUGUUGUUGACCCUUCCCUCUUUUCAUGGGGUAAUACAGCAAGUAUUUUCUUUGAUGUGGAUCCUUGAGGCACUGAACAUGUGAACUUUCCAGGACUGCGUUAUUUUAUCUCAAAUAAGGGUCAGGAUUUGCAGGUAGAAAGGGUAUGAUCAACUAGUAAGAAUGGAGGAUUGAAAAAGAUUGACAUGGAAGACGGUUGUCCUGGUUUAGUUGGCAGUUAUACAGACCUGAUGUAGUGGAAAUGUCAUGACCUGAAACGGUGAUUGAGCACCUGGUGGGAAGGCAGGGCCAAUCCAGGGGAGCUCAGGUGCAUGCAAUGCUCCUGAGUGACGAGAAGGGGUGGAGCCAGGAUCCAUUCCCCUCCCAGACCUCAUUUAAGGGUUGGCAGCGGAGGUAAAGGUAUCUUCUGUGGGAGGUUCCUGUCUACUGAAGGUCUUCUACAGGCCAAAUAGGAUGAAAGAAACUGAAGUUACUAUUCUGACCCUGCCAGCCCAAUUUCUCUAGGGUGCCUGGAGGGAAACUCGCACACAGACAUCAAGAGAACAGCAAGGCCAAACGGAAGAGAGCUCAGGUGACGCUUCUUGGACUCUCCUGCUCCCCUCCUGCAACUGUAGUGAAGCUGAGGUGUGAAGCAGCAAGUACUAAGUCUUGCUUUCACAUAGCCAGUGUAGGCAGUGCUACCCCAUUCACAAACAAUCAAAGUAGGUCCUCCAAAAUGGUCUCGUCCAUCUGUGCCCUCAAAGCUUCUCACCUUCACACCUCAAAAUAACCAACAUACUUUGACGUGUUGGAGCAUUGUGUCAAACAUCUGGAGGCCAGAAAGGGCCUGUUCAUCAUCUCACUAUGAUUGGUUCAGUCUAACCACAGUCUGAAUAAUUCUGUGCAGGAGGAAAAGUUUAGGACUGGGUUUCCUGGGCGGAGAUGCUAUGCUGACUGAAUAUCAAUUACCAGUGUCAUUACUGCUUCAGUCCUGUAGUUCUUCAUAAUGCCACUGCCAGAAUCAAGUACGUGAAAGACAAGUGCAGGGGAAGAAGAUGAUGUGUCUGAAGGAGGUAUUCUCGAGCAAUGCAGAGCUUCAUCCACUGGUGAAAAGCAGAAAACAUACAAACAAAAUAAUGUUUUGCUGACACUUUGCUGUACUGUUCAGUGCAGUUACAUGAACAGACAACGUUUCCCAUGGAAGAUGCCAACUAAAGCAAUGAACUGGGAGUCUGUAUUGAGAAGACUUCCAGAGGGAGCUGCAAAUCAGCAGCAGCUGGAUUGGACUCAGAAGGAAUGAUGAUUUUGAUGGGAUUAUAGCUGAAUUCGAUUAAAAUGUUUUCUUUGUUAAAUAUAUCUGUUAUUUUCCUAAAUACCAAGAGGUACACUGACUCCUACUAGUCCUAGAAGAUUUCAAAUAUGCUUUUUGCUCAGAUUUAGGGAGUGUAGGAAGUGUCAGGUAGUACAGACGCAAGGGAGUUUAAGUACUUCUGCUAGUAUAUUGCAACACGCGAGUCCAGCUGACAAACAUAACUUAUGUAUGAACUUUUAACCUGACAUUUUCCCUUUAGUUUCAAUGGAUGGUAUCAAUUUUGAAUGUAUUACUAUUGUAAGAUUUACGGACGCUUGCUGAAGGCCACUGACUUCCAAUCAAGAAUCUGACAAUAUGGUUGCUUAGAGGCUUCUUCGCAGUCCUUCUGUAUCUUGUUUCUUAAAAGCUUUCCAAGUACAUGGCAAAGGAAUGCAAUGAAACAAAUGUCACUUUGUUCUUGAAAACAUAUGGAAAAAGCUUUCAGAAUACAACAGAUGCUUGAAUCUUCUAAUAGAUUUAUCUGUAUUCUUGUUUGUUUUGUUGACUAAAAUGUAAAAGUGUUUUUUAAAAACAGAUGUUAAAAGUCAUAUAGAUGUACUUUAGUUCCAUGGAGGUAGGACACUUAAAAACUGUAGCAAACCUGAACUUGUUUUAGCUGCUAUUUUAUAUGUGAAUGCAAAACAUCCUCAGUGAAAUGGUGUGUGUUUAAAAAAAAAAAAAAAAAGUCAAU
Molecule: long non-coding RNA, 6530 nt
Organism: Gallus gallus (chicken)
Lineage: Eukaryota; Metazoa; Chordata; Aves; Galliformes; Phasianidae
Exons: 11
Source: RefSeq, a predicted model, not a curated record